This 79-nucleotide ribozyme is filed under the name Hippocampus comes (tiger tail seahorse). RNAcentral describes it as "Mammalian CPEB3 ribozyme (ENSHCOG00000013820.1)". It matches the Rfam family "Mammalian CPEB3 ribozyme". From Rfam's summary of the family: The mammalian CPEB3 ribozyme is a self cleaving RNA located in the second intron of the CPEB3 gene which belongs to a family of genes regulating messenger RNA polyadenylation. This ribozyme is highly conserved and found only in mammals. The record is from RNAcentral. Lineage: Eukaryota; Metazoa; Chordata; Actinopteri; Syngnathiformes; Syngnathidae.
AUUGAAUUUUAAGGGGGCCAUUGAAGGAGCGUUCACGUCGCGGUCCCUGUCAGGUGUUUUUGCACCUGCGAAUCCUUCA